UUUAUGCAUUUAUUUUCAUUCCAUUUUUCCCGCCAAGAAGUUAUUUGUUUUUAUGCUGUUUUCACUCUGUUCUAUUUUGCACUUUGUGAUUAGUGGAACUUCCAUCCAGUUAAACCAUUCUAUUAUUAUAAAGAGACACUGUUCCAGAAUAAAUAUAUAUUUCUUCUUGUAUAAAACCCUUAAUAUACACAUAAAUCUUUUAAAAUUAUAUAUUAAUAAUAUCAAAUUUAGUGCUUUUUUAAACUAUAUCUUAAUUAAAAUCUGUUAUUGUUACAUCCAACACAUAUUGAGUAAUUUAAUAUUAACAAACUAAAAAUCAAUUUUUCUUAUCGCAGUUUUUAGGCCUUAGUCAUAGCACUUAAUUACUGGUAAUUGUAGGAGUUCAUCCAUCAGGUCAAAACACCUAUAAAUCCAAUAAUUAAAAAUUUAUCAGGCAAAGUAACUUUAUCAUCAAGUCUACUUUCUCUGGCAAACUGCUAAAAUGUGUCAGACUUUCAAAACCAACAGGAAAAUGAGAUAAUUAUGCUACUAUAUCUUGGCAUGUUAAACUCACCGAAUAUUAAAGAAAAGAGUUUUUAAAAAAUCAUGUUUUUGUUGUAAAUCUUUACUUAUCUUAAUUUUGGUCAUAUUGGUCAGUUUUUCGUACUAAUUCCUAUUGCAUUUGGUCGUAGAGACAUUAUAUUGAAUAGGCAGUGUUAUAUCUUAUAUGUUAAAAGAACAGAAGUUGAAUCCAAUAAAUAAAUAUUUGGAUUAAUUGUCCAACUGUUUCAACACACCUUCUGUUCAAACAUGGCUAGAAGGUUGCGACAUUUAGCGUAAAUCUAUAGUGCCAGGUUUUUGAGAGUUACAUCACAAAAUUAAUUGACAAAAGUGACACCAAAAUUACUAUAAAUUGUAAUUCAAUAUGCCAAAAUGUGGUCAUGACAGAUUAGUGUGAGGAGAAAUCAGAUAAAUUUUGAUCAAACCGCUAACAAAAACUUAUUAUUUAAACAAAUAGGAAUUAUCUAUCCUGGGAAGUUUCUACGUAGAGACCUAUUUAUCCAAAAAGGUCGUCGGCAGUGAACUUGGCAAUGGAAUUUUUGAAGCUGUCGGAGCGGAAAAAUGAAAUGGAAGA
This is a long non-coding RNA of Cimex lectularius (bed bug), 1114 nucleotides long. RefSeq lists it as uncharacterized. The transcript is spliced from 3 exons. NCBI's taxonomy places the organism in Eukaryota, Metazoa, Arthropoda, Insecta, Hemiptera, Cimicidae. The record is from RefSeq and is a predicted model, not a curated record.